UUCCUCAUGAACUAAAUGCUUGAACAAGAUUGGUUUAUAACAAAGUUUCUUGUAAAUGUGUUUGGUAAAUGUGUUCGGUACAUGGCAUUGUAUUGUAAUUUCAAAUGUGUUGAUUUAACAAAUAUUAUUACAUAUAUUUUGCGGACCAAACAUUGCAAGAGUUUGAAACUUAUGUUGUUGGCUGGAUUUAGUUAAGUUGUACUGUUUUUUUUAUGCCCCCAUUUCGAAGAAAAGGGGGUAUAUAGUUUUUGCACUGUCUGUCGGUCGGUCGGUCACACUUCAUGUCCGCUCUCUAAUUCAAAUAGUUUUCAUCCGAUCUUUACCAAACUUGGUCAGAAGUUGUAUCCAGACAAUAUCUAGGUCAAGUUCGAAUAUGGGUCAUGCCGGGUCAAAAACUAGGUCACUGGGUCACUUAGUGCAUUUCAAGGAUUUAGCAUGGUGUCCGCUCUCUAAUUGAAGUAGUUUUCAUCUGAUCUUAACUACACUUGGUAAGAAGUUGUAUUAAGACAAUAUCUAGGUCAAGUUUGAAUAUGGGUCAUGCCGGGUCAAAAACUAGGUCACGGGGUCACUUAGUGCAUUUCAAGGAUUAAGCAUGUUGUUUGCUCUCUAGUUUAUGUGACUUUCUGAUUUAUUUUGAUAUUCUAAGACAUUUUUAUGCCCCCGAAGGAGGGCAUAUAGUGAUCGGACUGUCCGUUCGUCUGUCCGUCCGUCUGUCCGUCAGCCUUUGCGUUAAGAUUUCGAAAAAUUCUCAUAACUUCUAUGUCGCUUCAGAUAGCAAUUUCAUAUUUGGCAUGCUUGUGUAUAUGGACAAGGCCUUUCCAUACGCACACAAAUUUUGACCCCUGUGACCUUGACCUUGAACUUAGGGUCCGCGUUUAGGUUCGAAAUCUGCGU
This is a long non-coding RNA of Dreissena polymorpha, 894 nucleotides long. RefSeq lists it as uncharacterized. Lineage: Eukaryota; Metazoa; Mollusca; Bivalvia; Myida; Dreissenidae. The transcript is spliced from 2 exons. The record is from RefSeq and is a predicted model, not a curated record.